AUGAACGCUGGCGGCGUGCUUAACACAUGCAAGUCGAACGGAGUCAUCAUUUUUGAAGCAAUUAGCUUGCUAAGAGUGGAAAUGUUGAUGACUUAGUGGCGGACGGGUGAGUAGCGCGUGGGUAACCUGCCAUAUACAGGGGGAUAACACUUAGAAAUAGGUGCUAAUACCGCAUAAGCGCACAGUAUUGCAUGAGACAGUGUGAAAAACUACGGUGGUAUAUGAUGGACCCGCGUCUGAUUAGCUGGUUGGUGGGGUAACGGCCCACCAAGGCGACGAUCAGUAGCCGGCCUGAGAGGGUGGACGGCCACAUUGGGACUGAGACACGGCUCAAACUCCUACGAGAGGCAGCAGUGGGGAAUAUUGGACAAUGGGGGAAACCCUGAUCCAGCGACGCCGCGUGAGUGAAGAAGUAUUUCGGUAUGUAAAGCUCUAUCAGCAGGGAAGAAAAAAUGACGGUACCUGACUAAGAAGCCCCGGCUAACUACGUG
RNAcentral lists this ribosomal RNA (491 nucleotides) under uncultured Lachnospiraceae bacterium. Its description in RNAcentral is "bacterial SSU rRNA". It matches the Rfam family "Bacterial small subunit ribosomal RNA", at positions 29 to 507 of the family's 1533-position model. The record is from RNAcentral. Lineage: Bacteria; Bacillati; Bacillota; Clostridia; Lachnospirales; Lachnospiraceae.